This 498-nucleotide ribosomal RNA is filed under the name uncultured bacterium. Its description in RNAcentral is "partial 16S ribosomal RNA". It matches the Rfam family "Bacterial small subunit ribosomal RNA", at positions 29 to 523 of the family's 1533-position model. The record is from RNAcentral.
AUUGAACGCUGGCGGCAUGCCUUACACAUGCAAGUCGAACGGUAACGCGGGGCAACCUGGCGACGAGUGGCGAACGGGUGAGUAAUGCAUCGGAACGUGCCCAGUCGUGGGGGAUAGCUCGGCGAAAGCCGGAUUAAUACCGCAUACGACCUACGGGUGAAAGCGGGGGACCGUAAGGCCUCGCGCUAUUGGAGCGGCCGAUGUCAGAUUAGGUUUUUGGUGGGGUAAAGGCCCACCAAGCCGACGAUCUGUAGCUGGUCUGAGAGGACGACCGGCAAGGCGUGAACUGAGAAACGGCCCAGACUCCUACAGGAGGUAGCAGGGGGGAAUUUGGGACGAAGGGGGCAACCCUGAACCAGCCAUGCCGCGUGCGGGAAGAAGGCGUUCGGGAUGUAAAACGCUAUUGUCAGUGAAGAAACGCACUGGGCUAAUACCCUGGGGUAAUGACGGUACCUGAAGAAUAAGCACCGGCUAACUACGUGCCAGCCGCCGCCGUAA